This 2148-nucleotide long non-coding RNA is filed under the name Rhinopithecus bieti (black snub-nosed monkey). RNAcentral's name for it is "lncRNA (ENSRBIG00000045980.1)". Lineage: Eukaryota; Metazoa; Chordata; Mammalia; Primates; Cercopithecidae. The record is from RNAcentral.
GAAAAAUUAGAUAAAGCUAUGAAUAAUUAUGUUAGAGAUUAUAUUGAGGGACUAGGGUUACAUGUUGUGUUCACUGAAUCAUUUACAAUGAACAUAAACAUUUAUAAUCACAAAAAAGGUAUUUCUGAAAAUCAGUAUCUGUUACAAUCAUUCAAAUGCAAUGUCAUUUAUUUAUAUUGCAUUAUUUAGUCUAUUGUUUUCUCAUUUUUUAAAAAAAAUAGCAAUUAAAGCAAAGAGGAAAUCUUUAUGGUUAAUAUUUAAAAUUUUAUCUUUAGAAAUAAAAAAGUGGUUCAUCAUACAUAAAAGAAAAAACAAAUUUAAUCUGUAAGAGUACAUUAUCUUUAAUUUUCUUAAGUCAAAAACAGUUUACAUAUUAGCAUCAGUGUAAACAUCCUCUCUGACGUCGCAAUGUUAAGACUUCUGUUGCCUUGGUGCCAUCUCAUUCUGACCCUGGGCUCAUUGGCCCUUACACUUUAAUCUGAACAAUGGAACCAGAGACAUCAGCACUGUCCAGGCUCUCUGAUGAUCUUCAUCCUUCGCCAGUGGCAAUUCAUGAAAUAAAUACAGAGUUUUCUGAGGAAAGUAUAAUAUACUCAGACCUCAAAGUUCGUUGUUCUUCAAAUACCCAGAACGUAAAAAUAACUAAAACUUCGAAAACAAAAGUGUCUCCAUGGUGCAUUGCUGCUGUGAUAUUUGCCUUCCUUUAUAUAAUCACUCUGGUAAUAGUUGGAGCUAUGGUAGCUAAGAUUCAUUGUCUUGAGGAGAUCCUGCAUGAGACAACCAUUGAGACUGCACAUUGCAACAUAAUAUCACAAAGCAAAGGUAAUUGGUCUUCCUCCGAAGAAAACUGACAUUUUAUAUCUACUGAAAAUAAAAUCUUGGCAUCAAGGAAAUUUGUUCUGAAGCACUGAGCUCCAGUCCCACCAAGGCAAAUAAUGAAGAAUUGGAAGUGUUUCAUGUGAUAUUCAUUCUUAUAUUUUCUUACACAUCAUAUAAUUAUAAAUAGAGAAUUUUUAACAUCUUGUGUUCAUUUAAGCAUGCUAAACUCAACAUUUUAUAAGUUGGAGACAUCUCAAUCAAACUCAAAAAAUCAAAAUAUGACCUUAAAAUGAUUCUAGAUUUUAAAUAUAUUUGCAUACAGAAGUAAAUGCAAAUAUAAGAAAUUUCAAAUGUUGGCCAACAAUGGGGGAAGAAAUCACAUAGACAUAGAAACUAAAGGGAAUCUGGUCACAAGUGGCACCUAAAAAAGAGCUAAUAUUUGUUGAUUGCUUCAAAUAUUCCUGGUACUACAUCAAUGAUUGUGGGCAUUAACUCAUGUGUUUUCCCAGUAAUCUUAUGAUACAAGUAUUAUCAUUGCCAUUAUUGUAUUAAUAAGAAAACCAAGACCCAGAGAGAAUGAUACUUUUUUUCUGGGUAUCAGAAAUAGUAAGAAUUAGAUGCUUAAACUAUGAUUUAAGUUAAAAGAAUCUAACUCUAAAGAUCAGGAACAUAGCCAUUAUGCUAUGCUGACCCCAGAACAAAAAAUCUUAAUGAAUCAAAUUGUAAGAAUAUUGCUUCUUUGUAAAUAGUCAGAGCUGCUUAUACAAGCAGAUUUACAUUUUCCCACCCUGGAUGUAUCUUCUAAAGAGGAACAGUGAGAAAAAGAAUAAUAGCUCUUCAUAAGGACAAUUUUUAUAGGAAUUACUGUUUGGAAUGUGAAUAAAAGACAUUAACAGCAGUAAUGUUUCCCCCCAGUAGAUCCUAGCAAGCCAAAAGAAUAUAGAUGUCUUUUAUAUUUUUGUUCUCCUCUACUAUGUGACUCUUACCUCUGUAUUAUUUCUUCUUUUUCAUUGUAUUGAAGUUCUGUUAUUGCCUUUAAUGAAGACUUCAGUGCAGAUCAAUGAAGAUAAAUUUAGGGCAUAUAUGCUGAAAAUUUCCAUACAGUAUUCUUAGAAGACACUGUUCAUAAUAUCCUUCCCUAUGAUAUGCAGUAUCAUAAUUGCAAUCCUUCAUUAUUGCAAAAAAAGUGAGCAUAGACUUCACUUUGAAUAACUUUCAACAGAGCAUACCAGAAAGUCUCCUCCAAUUGAAUUACUCUCAUCUCAUCUACAUAUGGUGCUUCAAAGUGAACUUGUAUAUACACAUCAGCAAUGAGCUCUUUCAGCAAAA